This 685-nucleotide ribosomal RNA is filed under the name Streptomyces sp. CV11. Its description in RNAcentral is "bacterial SSU rRNA". It matches the Rfam family "Bacterial small subunit ribosomal RNA", at positions 98 to 797 of the family's 1533-position model. Lineage: Bacteria; Bacillati; Actinomycetota; Actinomycetes; Kitasatosporales; Streptomycetaceae. RNAcentral also lists the same sequence under 3 other names. The record is from RNAcentral.
GCGAACGGGUGAGUAACACGUGGGCAAUCUGCCCUUCACUCUGGGACAAGCCCUGGAAACGGGGUCUAAUACCGGAUAAUACCUUCUCCUGCAUGGGAGGGGGUUGAAAGCUCCGGCGGUGAAGGAUGAGCCCGCGGCCUAUCAGCUUGUUGGUGGGGUGAUGGCCUACCAAGGCGACGACGGGUAGCCGGCCUGAGAGGGCGACCGGCCACACUGGGACUGAGACACGGCCCAGACUCCUACGGGAGGCAGCAGUGGGGAAUAUUGCACAAUGGGCGAAAGCCUGAUGCAGCGACGCCGCGUGAGGGAUGACGGCCUUCGGGUUGUAAACCUCUUUCAGCAGGGAAGAAGCGCAAGUGACGGUACCUGCAGAAGAAGCACCGGCUAACUACGUGCCAGCAGCCGCGGUAAUACGUAGGGUGCGAGCGUUGUCCGGAAUUAUUGGGCGUAAAGAGCUCGUAGGCGGCUUGUCACGUCGGUUGUGAAAGCCCGGGGCUUAACCCCGGGUCUGCAGUCGAUACGGGCAGGCUAGAGUGUGGUAGGGGAGAUCGGAAUUCCUGGUGUAGCGGUGAAAUGCGCAGAUAUCAGGAGGAACACCGGUGGCGAAGGCGGAUCUCUGGGCCAUUACUGACGCUGAGGAGCGAAAGCGUGGGGAGCGAACAGGAUUAGAUACCCUGGUAGUCCA